AUGCAUCCUACCCUUGAUGAGUCUAUUGACAUGAUUAGGAAUGUUAGAACUGUUAAUCUUAUCACUAGAGGCUUGCCUAGAAACUUGAUUAUAAAACUGCCUACUCUUGAGUGUGCCUACACUAUAUGGAAAUUUCUUGAGGAACGAUUUCCUGAUUCUUUGAAAAAUCUUGAUGAAAUUCUCCAUAAGUCUAUUGCUUUGAGUAAGAUGAAUACUAGUGAUCCUAUGUUUGGUGAUCGUCUAUUUGAGCUUACAAACCUUAUGCGUGCCAAAGGAAAUCUUGGUAUUAUUAGUGACAUUAUUUCCGAAGCUAUAAGAAUUCAUAGACAAGAUUAUUGUCAAACUCAUUCUAAUGAAUCACCCUCUCUAGGAUUUGAUCCACCACAUGACGAUGUUGAACAUGGAUACUAUGAUGAGGAUGAUGAUAGUGACUUCGAUCUUGAUGAUGCAAUGAGACAUUUUGGUCUUAUGGCAAAUCUUCGGGGAUAUAUGUCAGGAGGAAAGGAAUGGGUCCUUGACAGUGGAUGUACUGAUCACAUGACCGAAGAUAAAGACAUGUUUCGUGAGCUUGCUGAUAAUGAUAGUCCUCGAAAGUAUGUCACUUUCGGUGACAACUCAAAGGGUAAGGUGGCUGGCCUCGGUAAGGUGGCCAUCUCACAUGAUAGCUCCAUACAAAAUGUCAUGCUCGUUGAAUCUCUUGGAUACAACUUACUUUCAGUAUCUAGACUUGCUGACUUUGGUUUCAAUGUCUUAUUUACUGAAAUUGAUUGCCAAGUGUUUCGUCGAGACAAUCAUAAAAUGGUCUUUACCGGCAUACGUAGAGGUGAUCUAUACAUUGUUGAUUUCACUAAAAAGGCUCAACCUAAAACUUGCUUCAUUGCUAAAUCCUCAAAAGGUUGGUUAUGGCAUAGACGACUAGGUCACGUUGGCAUGAGAAACCUUGACAAGCUUAUUAAAGGAAAUCAUAUCCUUGGAGUUAAUGAUGUCAUUUUUGAUAAGGAUAGACUUUGCAGUGCUUGUCAAGCAGGUAAACAGGUUGGAGGAAGGCAUCCCGUGAAGAACAUCAUGACCACGAAGAGGCCACUCGAGCUACUUCACAUGGAUCUCUUUGGUCCCAACUCUUACAAGAGUCUCGGUGGAAAUUCUUUUGGUCUAGUUAUAGUUGAUGAUUUUUCAAGAUUUACGUGGGUGUUCUUUCUUAAUGAUAAAUCGCAGGUUCAGAAGAUCUUCAAAAACUUCGCUAGGAAGGCCCAAAACCAAUUUGAAGUGAAGAUCAAGAAGGUUCGCAGCGACAACAGAACGGAGUUCAAGAAUGCAAAUGUGGACACCUUUCUUGAUGAAGAAGGGAUUUCACACGAGUUCUCGGCUACAUACACACCUCAACAAAAUGGAGUUGUUGAGAUGAAGAACCGGACGCUCAUCGAAAUGGCGAGAAUGAUGCUUGAUGAGUACAAGACGCCGAAGCACUUUUGGGAAGAAGUGGUUGAGACAACUUGUCAUGCAACAAAUCGCUUGUAUCUUCACAAGCUACUCGGCAAGACGGCAUACAAGCUCCUCACCGGUAACAAACCCCAAGUUGGAUACUUUCGAGUAUUCGGUUCAAAGUGCUACAUUCUUGAUAAGCAUCGUCGUUCUAAAUUUGCUCCUAAGUCUCAUGAAGGUUUCCUACUAGGUUAUGGCUCAAACUCUCACACUUACCGUGUCUACAACAAUUUCACCCGAAAGGUUGAAGAGACGGUAGAUGUGAAGUUUGAUGAAUCUAACAGCUCGCAAGUAGAGCAACUGCCAAUUGAUGUAGGAGACAAAGAUCCUUCGGAAGCAAUCCAAGACUUGUCUAUUGGCAAGGUCCAUCCAACGGAGGUGAAGGAGAGUACCUCGUCCGUCCAAGUGGAAGCUUCUACUUCACGACAAGGUGAACCAAGAGUUGAUACGGAAGCAUCCACAAGUGGGACACACCAAGAUGAAGAAAACGAGGAAGUGCAUCAAGAUGAACGUCAACAACCUCCUUCUCCACCACGACAAGAGAACGACAACGCCAACAAUGAAGAAGGCCAAGAAGAAGAACAUGAUGAAGAAGAUGUUCAACGAAGACCCAAGCAAAAGCUUUCACGAGUUCGAGCAAGAAUUGCUAAAGACCAUCCCGUCGAGCAAAUCUACAAUGAUAUUCAAACCGGGAGAAUCACUCGCUCUAAAACUCGUUUAGCUAACUUUUGUGAAAACUAUUCUUUCAUCUCUAGCAUUGAACCUACGAAGGUCGAAGAAGCAUUGGAACAUCCGGAUUGGAUAAAUGCUAUGCAUGAAGAGCUACACAACUUUGAGAGGAACCAAGUUUGGACAUUGGUUGAGAAGCCCGACAACAACCACAACAUCAUCGGUACCAAAUGGGUGUUUCGCAACAAGCAAGAUGAAGAUGGACAAGUAGUUUGCAACAAAGCACGUCUCGUCGCCCAAGGCUACACACAAGUCAAAGGUAUGGACUAUGGUGAGACUUACGCCCCCGUUGCUAGACUUGAGUCCAUUCGCAUCUUACUUGCCUAUGCUAAUCACCAUGAUAUCACCUUGUACCAAAUGGACAUUAAAAGGGCUUUUCUAAAUGGUGAAAUAGAGGAGGAAGUUUAUGUUAAACAACCUCCCGGCUUUGUCAAUCCUAAGAAACCCAAUCAUGUUUACAAACUUCACAAAGCUCUUUAUGGACUUAAACAAGCUCCUAGAGCAUGGUAUAAAUGCUUGACCAAGUUCCUUAUUGAAAAAGGCUUUGAAAUUGGGAAAAUUGAUUCUACUCUUUUUACUAAAAGGGUUAAUGGUGAACUCUUUGUGUGCCAAAUUUAUGUUGAUGAUAUUAUAUUUGGUGCAACUAACCCUCAUUUUAGUGAAAAGUUUGGGAAGCUAAUGUCGGAGAAGUUUGAUAUGUGUAUGAUGAGUGAACUCAAAUUCUUUCUUGGGUUGCAAAUCAAGCAAACUAAGGAAGGUACUUUUGUCUCUCAAACGAAGUACACCAAGGACUUAUUCAAGAAGUUCAAUAUGAAAGAAUGCAAAGGUAUGACUACACCCAUGCCUACUAGUGGACAUCUUGACUUAGUCAAAGAUGAUGAACCGGUUGAUCAAAAGGUUUAUUGCUCUAUGAUUGGUUCAUUGUUAUAUCUAUGUGCUUCACGUCCCGAUAUUAUGCUAAGUGUGUGCAUGUGUGCACGAUAUCAAGCUGCUCCUAAAGAAUGUCAUCUUAAGGCCGUGAAAAGGAUAGUGAGAUACUUAAUCCAUACACCAAAUUUUGGCAUUUGGUAUCCUAAGAGGGCCUAUUUCGAUCUUGUUGGCUAUUCCGACUCGGACUAUGCCGGAGACAAGGUUGAUAAAAGGUCCACUUCGGGUACUUGUCAAUUUCUUGGUAGAUCUCUUGUGUCUUGGUCCUCCAAGAAACAAAACUCGGUAUCCUUAUCCACCGUCGAAGCUGAAUAUAUUGCCGCUGGUUCAUGUUGUGCUCAAUUACUUUGGAUUACCCAAACUCUUAAAGAUUAUGGGAUAUAUGUGAGACAUGUUCCAUUGCUUUGUGAUAAUGAAAGUGCUAUCAAAAUUGGUCAUAAUCCUGUGCAACAUUCUCGAACUAAGCAUAUUGAAGUUCGUCAUCAUUUCAUUCGAGAUCAUGUUGCUAAGGGUGACAUUGAUCUUAAGCAUGUUCGCACCGAAAAGCAAUUAGCGGAUAUAUUCACUAAACCUCUUGAUGAGAAAGUGUUUUGCAGGUUGAGAGGAGAAUUGAACAUCAUAGAUGCUUCAAACUUAGAGUAG
Molecule: ribosomal RNA, 3780 nt
Filed under: Triticum aestivum (bread wheat)
Lineage: Eukaryota; Viridiplantae; Streptophyta; Magnoliopsida; Poales; Poaceae
Description: partial small subunit ribosomal RNA
Source: RNAcentral